AAUCUAUUAUCAUCGUUCAUUUGUGUGCGCACAUACCAUUCUUUAUGCACGCAUAACCCCCUCUUUUUACUAGUGUGCGUACGCACGAGUCCCUCUCGAACGGUAAUUCGAAAAAGAGAACUGUAUCGCGCUUAAGAAUCCCCCCGCCUUUACCCCUUUCUUCUUCUUUUCUUCUCUGAACCCACCCCACCCUAGCCACCCUAGCCACCCUGACCACCUCCGUCCCACCACCGCGGACCAGUAACGCCGGCGGCCACCACAACCACCCCUCUCCCUCCUCUCUUCUCUCUUCCCACGCCAACAGCCCCUGUCCCGUACCCUUCCCUGUUCGCGUCCAACCAGGAGCUCCGGAAGCGGCUUUCCGGCGGCGAAAUUCUGGGCCGCCGCGCAUCACCACCUCCCCUCCGUUUCCCCUUCAUUCUCUCUUUCUCACCAACGCAGGAUGCGUCGUAAGGGAAAGGAGAAAACUUCUUCCAAGGCUCCUGUCCCUAUCCCCCCAAGCAACCAGCCUGAUACUUUCUUCAUUGAGAAGGCCCAAGAGCACUAUAGAAAAGUGGAAAAGAAGACCUUCCAUUAUGAAAGGAAGCUGAAUUUACCAGAUAAAUAUGCUGAGGCUAUCACCAACCGCCUGGACUACUAUGGAUGGAAAUUCAUAGAAUUCAACCCAGUGGAAGUCAAUGAUGUAUGGUCAAGGAAUUCUAUGGAAAUUUACCCAACGAGGGCGCCGAGUCAGUUUUCCUUAGAGGAAUGCAGUUGGACACUUCCAACCAUGCUUUAGAGGCACUCCUCCCGAUUCCGCACAUUCCAGAGAGCGAGGAUGAUUAUAUUAAGAUAGCGGUGGAUCUGAUUCAAGGAAAAAUCAGGUUAGACGCAGUUCUGGAGAAGAUUGGCCUACCUGAGGCCAGGUGGGAGUACAGCAGGGGAGAGAAAGCGGUACCCCUAAGCAUUGCAUGCUCAUAUCUACAUCCUGAGGCGAGGAUCUAGCAGCAGAUCAUUGCCGAUUAUAUCCUGCCAAGCACACAUGCUACACACAUCAGAGUCAGAGAGGCAGUUCUUCUAUGGGCUAUUCUGGAGGGUAAGAGGAUUUCUAUUCUGGCCUUUAUCAGAGAGUCGAUGUGGAAGGAGAAGUAUAACAUCGCCUUCCCAUCGAUGAUCACGAGACUGGCCACACUAUCUUGGGUUGAGCGGAGACCGGGAGACCGGAUGUCUACCCUCAUCAGCACCCAUCCAUUUCUGCCUCGUGGAGAGUAUGAGGGACCGCCGCCAAAGAAAAGGAAGACCACUGAGCCUUCAUCAUCAUCAGCACCUUCAGCACCUGCCCCUGCACCACGGCCAUCAUAUGAGCUGGUUCAGUACCUUCUUCAGGAGCUUCGCCGCCAUGAGCACCGCUUUCAGUGGUUGGCCGCCAGAUAGGAUGGUCGAGACCCCGGUCCACCUCCUAUAGCUACACCUGAGUCUGAGCCAGAGCCCGAGCAUGAGACUGAGCGGCCAGUGGUAGAGGCAAAAGCAGCAGAGGUAGCAGCUGAGGACACAGCAGUUGAGGCAGCUGACCAGCCAGUCCAGCAGCAGGCAGCUGAGACCACCACAGGACCGACCCAGGACAUCAUCAUUUACCAGCCACCACAGCACCCACCAUCGUAGAGUUAGACCCCCAAUCCGAUUUUUUGGCACGGAGGACCGUGCACCAUUUAAGUAUGGGGGAGGAUCUACUAUUUUUUUGUGUAAAAUUUCUCUCCUAAACACUUUAGCAUUAGUUACUUUACUUUUUAUUAUGCUUUUGCGGAUUUAGAGUACUUUACCUUAUGCACUAGAUGUUAGUACUUUGGUAGUUGUAUAUAUGUUAGUAUGUUUAUAUCUUUAGCAUUGCAUCUUUAUUUUGGUAUAUAGAUAUUGCACUUUUAGUUAAUCGGUAUAUACAUAUUUUGAUUGUGAUUGGAUGAUAUAAAUAGCAUAGCACUUAGUUCGAUUUUGAUCCUAAUUGUGUAUUUUGGUCUUUGAAUGCAACAAUUAGAAAAAGAACUAAGAAUUUUGAAAAUUUUUUGCAUCUAUCACAAUAUACAUACAUAUAGGAAAUAACUUUGGUGAAAAACAAGAAUUUUCAAGAAUUUUGUUUUGAGGGCAUACCAAUGAAUUGAUUUGGAAAAUCCUUGUAACUUGCUUGAACUAUUUUUGUGAAACAUAGAAAUGUUAAGAACAAAAUACCUUGUGAGAUUUGAGCCUAUAAUGAAUGGUUACACCUUAUAACCGCAAAUUUUGUUCAUUGUGUGCUAUAUCUCUUCUAUGAUUGUAAUCUUGGUUGUGUUUGAUUCUUUAUUUCGAAUAGUUGAUGUUUGAAUGCAUUGAGCAUGAUUGGGGCUAUCUUUGUUUUAAACUCAACCACAUGGACAUACCCUUGUAACUACCAUUGUUAACCUCCUUUGAGCCUUAUUUACCCCAUUGUUUGAUUUUAGCACAUUACAACUUUAAGUGGAAAACCAUGAUUUACCUUGAUUGUAUCCUUGAUUAGCUUAGGUUGAAAAGUGUAUUGCAUUUAAGUGUAGGAGAAUUUUGGAGGAACUUUGGUAGAAAAGAUUGAAAGUAUUUUGGGUAUGCUUUGAAAAUUUUAAAGUGGUUGCAUUCAUGUAUAGAAUUAUUAAACCAUAUGCAUUUUAGUUUCUUGCUUUAAAAAAAAGAAAAAAAAAAGAGAGAAGAGAAGAAGUGGGACAGAAGUCACCCCAAAGGGAAAAGGGAGCAAAUAAAUAAUGCAUAUGUGUUAUGAAUGGAAAGCAUAUACAUGAAUGUGUGAGAAAGAAAAUGAUGGAAGGUUAGGUUGCAUCUUUUGUUAUUGGAUUGAUAUAGGUUGAGUGGGUACUUAAACUGAUCAAGGAUUCAAUCUUCCUAGUCCACUUAGCCAUGUUUAUCCCACCUUAACCCUAACUCCAUUACAAUCCUAUGAAGUCCUCAUGAUACUUGCAUUCAUACAUCAUACAUUGUUGAUGGUUAGAUGAAAAGCAAAUCCUUGAAAGCAUGAUUAGAAGAGACUUGAAUUAUUAAAACCUUAAACACCGAGCGAUAGAGUGCAUACACGUUCGGGAGGUUCGAUCACUCAAUUCUAUGUUUUCACAUUUCUUAUCAUGUAUUCUUGUAAGUGCUUCAUUUUGAAAUUCAAAUUAAUUCUUGGAAUUUUGAGUUAUUUCUUUGUUUAGCCCUAUAUGUUCAUAUUCUUGCUUGAAGAUUUGUUUGUUUGUUUUCACCAAAUUCAUAGGAUAACUAUAGUAUAUAUAAAUAUAGAUAGUAUAUAGUAUACUUGCAUGCAUAUAGGUAGUUGCAUUUAACAAAUCAUUACCCCUUUGAUCUUUCUCCUUGUUUGAGUUAGCAUGAGGACAUGUUAUUGUUUAAGU
Non-coding RNA from Arachis ipaensis, 3380 nucleotides. NCBI's taxonomy places the organism in Eukaryota, Viridiplantae, Streptophyta, Magnoliopsida, Fabales, Fabaceae. The record is from RefSeq and is a predicted model, not a curated record.